AAAAUGCGAUAAGUAAUGUGAAUUGCAGAAUUCAGUGAAUCAUCGAAUCUUUGAACGCACAUUGCGCCCACCAGUAUUCUGGCGGGCAUGCCUGUUCGAGCGUCAUUUCAACCCUCAAGCCCCCCGGGUUUGGUGUUGGGGAUCGGGCUGCGGUUCUGCCGCGUCCCGGCCCCGAAAUCUAGUGGCGGUCUCGCUGCAGCCUCCAUUGCGUAGUAGCUAACACCUCGCAACUGGAACGCGGCGCGGCCAAGCCGUUAAACCCCCCAACUUCUGAAUGUUGACCUCGGAUCAGGUAGGAAUACCCGCUGAACUUAAGC
RNAcentral lists this unclassified non-coding RNA (317 nucleotides) under plant metagenome. RNAcentral describes it as "partial contains 5.8S ribosomal RNA, internal transcribed spacer 2, and large subunit ribosomal RNA". The stretch from base 1 to 105 matches the Rfam family "5.8S ribosomal RNA", at positions 50 to 154 of the family's 154-position model. The record is from RNAcentral.